RNAcentral lists this long non-coding RNA (464 nucleotides) under Homo sapiens (human). Its description in RNAcentral is "HSALNT0241634". Lineage: Eukaryota; Metazoa; Chordata; Mammalia; Primates; Hominidae. The record is from RNAcentral.
UCACAUUUAGUAGCAGACCUAUUUUAUUAGAGGAGAGUUCUCGCAGUGUUCGCCCUAACUUGGCCCGGUGGAAAAGCGUGUAAGCCUGUGUUCUUUCUGAAACCAUUUUCUGGUCAUUUGGGAUUUUACGCAAAUGCCUGUAGCUGUCUGAGCUGCAUUCCCCAAACCACUGAGGGCAGCCCAGACUCCAGAUAACUGCACCACCUACAUGACGAAGCCACUUAUCCAGGUUGCCUGAGUCACUGAAGGCUGCUGUCCCCAGAUCAGGCUGGACUUCCUGCAAGUCACACCAAACCAUCAACAGAACAUUCUCCACAUUCGGGGUUUUUCCCCCAGAGACACUUUACAAGGAGUGUCAGUUCCUCCCCUCACUGGCCUGGCCUGAAUUCUCCCAGGUCUGAGAUUGGGACGACCAGGGUUGGGGGAUGGGGCACAUCCUGAUCAUGAUAAUUCUGACCACACAG